UUUAUUAAUUUAUUGAAAAAUGAAACUGUCGAGUGUCUACUGCUUUUAUUAUUAUCUGUCGUGAGAGAUUUUUCGGAGAAAUUGACAGCUCUGUCAGCAUCAGCAUCAGUGUCAGCGUCAACCUGUGUCAAGUACCAACAAAAAAUGAGUCAUUUUUCUUAGGAUUAUUUUUGGAGAAAUCAAAGAUUUUACUGUCAGUGUCAUCAAGUAUAAGCGAGAGAGAUCAACGACGAUUGGUGUUAACAGGCCUUGGCGAAACCCAGUUUCAAACCAAUUCAUACAACGCGUGGUGAGUUUAUUUAUUUAUUUUUUUUUUAUUUUUUUUGUUUGCUUUAAAUAUAUGAGAAAAUAAAAAGAGUAAAAAAA
Molecule: long non-coding RNA, 366 nt
Organism: Cotesia glomerata
Lineage: Eukaryota; Metazoa; Arthropoda; Insecta; Hymenoptera; Braconidae
Exons: 3
Source: RefSeq, a predicted model, not a curated record